UACGUAGGGGGCUAGCGUUGUCCGGAUUUAUUGGGCGUAAAGAGCGUGUAGGCGGCCAGGUAGGUCUGGUGUGAAAACUCGAGGCUUAACCUCGAGAUGUCAUCGGAAACCAUCUGGCUAGAGUCCGGAAGAGGAGAGUGGAACUGCGAGUGUAGAGGUGAAAUUCGUAGAUAUUCGCAAGAACACCAGUGGCGAAGGCGGCUCACUGGCCCGAUACUGACGCUGAGGCACGAAAGCGUGGGGAGCAAACAGG
This 253-nucleotide ribosomal RNA is filed under the name uncultured bacterium. RNAcentral describes it as "partial 16S ribosomal RNA". It matches the Rfam family "Bacterial small subunit ribosomal RNA", at positions 524 to 776 of the family's 1533-position model. The record is from RNAcentral.